This 533-nucleotide ribosomal RNA is filed under the name uncultured bacterium. RNAcentral describes it as "bacterial SSU rRNA". It matches the Rfam family "Bacterial small subunit ribosomal RNA", at positions 33 to 562 of the family's 1533-position model. The record is from RNAcentral.
ACGCUGGCGGCAUGCCUUAACAUGCAAGUCGAACGGCAGCGCGGGGGCAACCCUGGCGGCGAGUGGCGAACGGGUGAGUAAUAUAUCGGAACGUGCCCUAGAGUGGGGGAUAACGUAGCGAAAGUUACGCUAAUACCGCAUACGAUCUACGGAUGAAAGGGGGGGAUCGCAAGACCUCUCGCUCGUGGAGCGGCCGAUAUCUGAUUAGCUAGUUGGCGGGGUAAAAGCCCACCAAGGCGACGAUCAGUAGCUGGUCUGAGAGGACGACCAGCCACACUGGGACUGAGACACGGCCCAGACUCCUACGGGAGGCAGCAGUGGGGAAUUUUGGACAAUGGGGGCAACCCUGAUCCAGCAAUGCCGCGUGUGUGAAGAAGGCCUUCGGGUUGUAAAGCACUUUUGUCAGGAACGAAACGGCUGCGGCUAAUACCUGCGGUCAAUGACGGUACCUGAAGAAUAAGCACCGGCUAACUACGUGCCAGCAGCCGCGGUAAUACGUAGGGUGCAAGCGUNAAUCGGAAUUACUGGGCGUA